UGCACGGUGGCGCAGUUGGUUUCACUGUCGCCUCACAGCAGGAAGGUCCUGGGUUCGAUUCCCAGCCGGGGGUCUUUCUGCAU
Molecule: non-coding RNA, 83 nt
Organism: Characodon lateralis
Lineage: Eukaryota; Metazoa; Chordata; Actinopteri; Cyprinodontiformes; Goodeidae
Source: the annotation of a GenBank genome assembly